Molecule: long non-coding RNA, 266 nt
Organism: Syngnathus acus (greater pipefish)
Lineage: Eukaryota; Metazoa; Chordata; Actinopteri; Syngnathiformes; Syngnathidae
Exons: 3
Source: RefSeq, a predicted model, not a curated record
UAUAUGUAUAUUUUUAAAUGAAAUUAAAAAGAGAGGAUUUAAUUUAAGAAUACGCUGCGGUAAACAGUAACGUUUUUAGCCUUGAUUUAAAGGAGCUGACAGUUUGAGCAGACCUCAGAUCUACAGGAAGUAUGUUCCACAGAUGAGGAGCAUAAUAACUGAAUGCUGCUUCUCCUUGCUUGGUUCUUGUGUUUGGGACACACAACAAGCCAGUUCCAGAUGACCUGAGAGGUCUGGAUGCUUCAUAAGGAACUAAGUAAUCAUAA